AGUUCCAGAAAGCAAUGAGUUACACUGAGUGUGACACUGAGCAGGUUGGGCUCGAUGUCUGUGUGCGCUGGAGUUGCAUCUGCUUUGAGAUGGGGAACUGGAAGGAGAGGAAUACUAGAGAACCUGAGCAGAGCCAGGCCUCCUCUGACAACCACCUUAGACGAGAAGUUAUUUCCCUUGUGACUGUAAGUGCAAUGGAAAAUCAGAAACUGAGGUUUCAGAAGAUAAAAAGUCUGGAUUGCGUGGAGCGUUUGAAUUCUCCAACAUCUCAGUGGUCCAAUUAAACCAUUUUCUUUAUGAAGACUCAGCCUCAUGAAAAACUGAAUAUACUAAUAAAAAUGUGAGUCAUCGUGCCUUUCUUACUGAG
Molecule: long non-coding RNA, 367 nt
Filed under: Coturnix japonica (Japanese quail)
Lineage: Eukaryota; Metazoa; Chordata; Aves; Galliformes; Phasianidae
Description: lncRNA (ENSCJPG00005011013.1)
Source: RNAcentral